RNAcentral lists this long non-coding RNA (8506 nucleotides) under Vitis vinifera (wine grape). RNAcentral's name for it is "long non-coding RNA (VVIN_LNC000120)". The record is from RNAcentral. Lineage: Eukaryota; Viridiplantae; Streptophyta; Magnoliopsida; Vitales; Vitaceae.
UUACCAUUUCUUAACUGAUCAUCUUCCAGACUCUACGGUACACUUGUUAUGGUAAUAACGAGGAACAAGAUAUCCCAAGCCAACCGCACCACAUCUUUCUCUUCACCUUCAUUCCUCACCAAGCUGCUUAGCUAACAGAUCAACAGGUAAGGAACCCAGUGGAACUGGUGAUUCCAUCUCUUCCAAUGACUCAUUCACCAAGUAUUCAUCAUCAUCAUCAUUGUACAUCUCAUCUUCACUAUAAUCCUCACUAUUAUAACCUUCAUGCUCUGCCUUUGUACCACCAGUUCCAUCUUCACUUGACAUCACUAAAGCUGGAUAGGAGUGCUCGGUGGCCUGUGAAAUGCCUUCAAAUUCCUCUACUACCUUCAAGCUGUGGUUUCCCCUAUUCUUCACAUUUGUUCCCUCAAAUUAAUUGAUUAGGCCUGAUCACCUGGAUAAUCCCAGAAAAAAUAUUGCCCACUUCCUUUAUUUUGGGAAAAAAAUGUGGUUUGUCCCACUGUUGCUUCCAAUAUCUCCUCACUAGCCUUGUGUCUUAAUGGAGAACAAUCCUUCCAAAAUGGCCUUUGAAACAGGAUAAAUUAGAAAUUCCCUCAGUUUUUCAGUUUUUCUUCAAGGAAAUAGACUCAGUUUGGUGUCUAUUCAAUUAUUUUGUUCAGUAAUGCUUUGUAGUUUUUACAUUUUAUUAUUAAGUUUUGUGAGACUAAUGAGAUUAUUCAUCAGACAUAUUACUCUUACACCAUACAAAAUGGAAUGGCAGAGAGGGAAAAAAGAGAUUUUGUGGAAUUUAUCUAUUUACUUCUUUUUCAUAUGCAGGUUUCAAAAAGGUUUCGAGAAGAUGCUGCCCUGAUGGGUUGUUUUCUUUUAAUUGUGUCCCAUUGAGUGUCAGUGGUAAUAACUCCUAUUCAGAUACAUGUGCUUUUGGCAUAACGAGUCAGUAGGUUCAGAUAAGUUUUCUUCUUGAGCCACAAAGCGUCAUCUUUGAGCAUUCCACAUCUCAAAAGGUAACAAAUAUUGCAAGUAACCCUAUGUUUUGUGAAUGCACUAAACAUUGUCAUUUCAUUCAAGAUGUAGUGAUGAAAGAUUACGUAGGCAUUGAAAAUUUUUAUACUACAUCUUGAGGAGUAAUGAAGUUUAUAAAUGAGGGGAUUAUUGUACUUUUUGUAAUAAGGUUAUCAUGACUCAUGACUCAUGAGAGUGCAGCGUAUAUAUUUUGCUGCAUCUCUAUUUUUCAGAAGAUUAAUCAAAUUUAGAGAACAUCACCUCAUCUCUUCUUCUUUCACCUUUUCUAACAAAGGUUUUGUUGUAUUUGUGAUAGAGGUUUAAUAUUUCCAAGUUUUAUUGUGCUUAUUUAAUUUUUCUCGGCCGAUGAAGCUCAGAAUUAUGAAUCAAUAAUAAGAAACUGGAACAAAGAAACCAAACAAGUCAAUGGGAUUAAAGAAUUUAUGCUUGCAAAGUUCAGCUUGAAACUGUUGCCAGUAAGAAAUGGAACUAGAAUAAGCCAAAAGACAAGAUCAGUGAGCAUCACAGCACCUGCACACAUCUGUUCACCAAAGAAAAAGAAAGCCAAUGACAAAGAAAAUUUUCAACAUUUUGCUUCUUAAGUAUUGAAACCAACCACCCAAUAACAAAAUUAUACUCUUAAUGUCUAAUUUCAUUUCAACACCAAAAGGAAAUGGAGAAUCUUUAGUGAAAAUACAAUCAAAAGUAUCAAUUCAGCAAUAAAAAAUCAGGAUGUGUAUGAGCAAUAUAAGAGAUGGGAGUAUGACUGCAAGAAAAGGUUUAGCAGUCAUAAGGUUAAUAUAAUCAAUCACAGGCACUGAUGUUUAUCCGCACUCUAUCAAGUGUAUCCAUAUUUCAUAGGUUUGGUGUUGCAAUGCCCCUUGGUCCAAGGCUCCAGCACUUCAAUAUUUUCAAAUGGAAGUUCGUAAAAAUUUUCUGGUCUACCAGUAACUAUGAGUGCUUGGUUUUUGUAAACUCAUAUAAAAGCUAGCAAGAUUAAGACAUUAGUUGUAAGUCAAAUUUUGAAAUGCAAACAUACACCAACAUAUCAACCCUGUUAUAGCCUACAAUAAAACCUAGUUAUAUGAUUGUGCUUAAGGGACUACAUGGUUUUGCAUUAGGAGGCAUAGAAAUUUAUACGGUUUUAUCCAUCUGUAGUUUGCCAAAAUGUAAUUCUUUGCUAAGUUAGAUUUAUCUGGAACUCAAAUUGCAAUAUUAAAUAUGAAGAAUGAGUGUUCAUGGAACUUAUUUUUUCAUGAAAAUGUUAUAAAGUUCAUUAUUUGAGCAUAUUAAAAUUUUGUGCAUCCGCAUUUUUUUUUUUGCCUUUUGCCUUUCCUGUAAUAUACAAAAAUAGAUAUUUAUAAACAACAUAAAACACAACUUGGUUAAGUUAAUGAGAAGGGUCCAGCUCUCUGGCCUCACUGAUCUCCAUCAACAUCUGUUGUACUAUAAAGAAGAGAAAAAUGAACCAAUUACUAACAUGGGUUUCCAAAUGUAUGAGAUCAAGCAUACAGAAUACAGUAAUUCAUAAGCAAAUAUUGGGAAAUGAAAAAGAAACCAGGGAGCAAAGAAAUUUUCAUUUGUUGUUUUCCCAUAAAACUGGCAUCUUAUUAUUGGGAGAAAGUUUACCUGAAAGAUAAUCUGAAAUGCGUAAAUCCACAUUCUGGCAGUUUUCCGAACAUGAGAUUGCUCAUAGGUACCAAAGUUCUUGGACAUGUUGGAUGUAUUAGCAUUUUCCCUGAGUGUGGGAGCUAUGUAGGAACCUUGCUCUGCAUCCCAACCCUCAUAAUCAACCCUAUCAAUACCAGCUUUAUUGCGAUAUAGGCGAUAUCCACAAAUGGAGCAAGAAGUUCCGAGCUACAAAUUGAGGAUGAGAGCAUAAGCAACAUAUACAAAAAUAAUUGAGGUACACUGAAAACUUGAAAAUUAAGGAACCAGUAUACAACAAAAAAUCCAUCCAAAAUAAAAAAAUUGAGAAAUAAAUCAACUCUUAUUUUGGGACUCAACACACCUCUGGGCAACAGAAUAACAAUUAAUUCCUAUUUAACAUCUAUGAACAAGAAGAUUUAAAUAGGAAAAAAAAAUCAAGUUGCUUGAGUCCAUAGAAUAAAACAAAGGACAAAUUCGAAUAUCUCUAUCAAAUUUUACACUACAAUACAUAGAUAGAUUCAGCCCAGAAGGCUGUAACAGUUAAAAGAUUAUACCGCAAAAUAGAUGGUGACCAAUGCAAACGUCCACCUGUUCAGAAGAAGAAAACAGAAAAGAAAAACACCAUUUACUUCAUAAGAAAUUUCUCCAAACCGGGAUUUGUUCGAUGAGCACAUCAUUUCCACCUUAUGAGUAUAGAGAUGAACCAAUAAAGGUAGAUAACUUACUGAGUAUAAAAGUAAAAUAUACCACCUCCAUCAAUUACGAUGUUGGCAGUGAGCAAUGUGAAUAGAGUAAUAAAAGCAAUCAUUCGAUAACCAAGAAGGCAACCAGGAUGGAUUUCUUUCAGACAUGUACUCCAAGUUUCAUCCUCAUACAGAGACCCUGCUGUUUCUUUCUGAUUUUCUCUUCUCCUGGCUUUUGUUUUGUUGAAACCUUCAUAUUUCCAUACUAAUAUUGAUGCUACAAUCAUCAUUGAUAAGAGCCAAAUUGCACAGAGGAAGAACCUCCAGUUCAACCAAUAACUUAAGGAGGUUGUAUCGUCAGCCAUGAUUGGCUGCCAGGAAUGCUUUGAGGAUCCUGUCAAGAAAUUCAUGGUGUUAGUUCUACUUGCUGAACUGGUCAAUCCAUUUUCAGGAAAAUCACUGAUUCAUGUCCACAUCCUUCUUCCGGAAGGAAAAGUGAAAUACUGUAUUGGCUUUACUUUAAUCAAAUACAGACAAUUUGCAAAUGAAUGAUGUGUCAGAAAAGGUGUUUGGAAAAUGUUCACAGUUCUGAAAAAGAUUUAAAAAGAAAAAAAGAGCAAGAAAAAGGAAAAUCUUUCAAACAAUAUGCAUAUGGCUUUUUUGUUUACAAAGGACACUGGCAGGCUUGUCAAUGACAGGAAAAACAGAACCCUAACCAUCACCACAAACGAAUUUCCGCAGGAUGAAAGCAUCUAGUUAUAGUCAAAACACCGAAUCCAAGGGAAGUCUUAGAGGAAUAACCCUAAAUAUCGAAUUAUCACAAAAAAAAAAAAAAAAAAAACAACAACAGCUGCAAAAUAUGGAAUUAUAUUGAAAUCAUAUAUAGAACCUCCCACAAAAAUGAAAUAACGGGAGUCAACACACUGAACAAACCAAAAAAAAUUAUCGAACAAGAAGAAAGAAGUAUCAAUAAAUAGUAAUUGGGAGAGGAACCCAUAUCUCAAAAUCCCAUCACAGCCACCAUACACGAAAGUACAGCUCGCUUAUGGACUCAACCCUUUCCAAUUCCCGUAAGACCCGUCAAUUCCAAGGGGAAAGAAAGGGUGUGUGAGAAUGUUUACGGUUCAUAAUGAAUUGAAUUACCUUUUCAAAUGAGAUGCUGUGGUUGGAGGAAUGAAGAUUGAGCGUAGAACCCUUUACCCCUGUUCUACUUCUAUGCGAUAGAAAGAGGAAUUACUUUAUUUGUUUUUCCUGUUUUUGCUUUGAAUUAGGAGGGAGUCCAGUUUGCCGAGAAUUUCAUUAAAACGCGUAUCCAGUAAGGACUCGUUUGUUAGCAGUUAGCACCCGAUUUCUUUGAAUUUACCGCCCAUCCAAAAAGCAGGAUGUUCUCGAAUUUUGAUUUAUAUUAAUUUACCUGUUUUUAUAUGAUUAAAAUUCAAUAUUUUAUCUCACAAUGCUUAAAUCAUGAAUUUAUAAUAGCAUAAAAAAAUUAAUUAUAAUUCAUUCUUACCUUUCCCUUUAAUUUUCUACUCUAAAAAUCAAUAAUUUUAUCAUUACCAUUUUUGACAAAAUAAUUUUUUUUAUAGAAACUAAGCAAAUGGAAAGAUAUUCUUAUAUAAAAAAUAAAAAUUUAAUUUUUUUUAAAAAAAAUCUUAUUUCAAUUAUUAUUUUAUCAUGGAAGGUCUACAAUUUUAUUUUUUUUAAAUAAUAUUUUAAUUCCAUUUAACUUUGACACAAAUAAUUUUUACUAAUAUCUCUUUAGAAUUAUAAAAUAAAAGAGAUAAAGAUACAGAAUUUACCCCUGAAAGGAAUUCUAUCUAUUAGGGAAAGAAAUUUCUAAAACUUUUGAUCAAAUUGAUUCCUUUUAAAAAAGAAAUUUUGGGAUUUUGGGACUGAAUUAUUCUCUAUUUUUAUGGAAAUUGAAUGGAGAAAUAAUAAAAUUUAGAAAAUGGGGAAACUAGGAUGGGAAGGAAAGAAACACAAUAAAAAGGGGAAACGAGAGAAAGAAACAGAAGGUGGAGGAAAAAAAAAAAAGAAGCCUUUUGGAGUCUUGAUUUUUCUUCUGCUUUCAGAGUAAUCCUUCUUCGUUAUCGCUGAUCAUCAGCCCCGCCGCUGCAAUCGCUGUUCAUCAGUAGCACCGUCGCAACUGCAGCAGAAAUCCAGCCCUGACAGGUUCUGUAUUUGGUUUUUAGUUGUUAUUUUAAAUAAAAUCCACACAAUGGAGUAGUCCCAAGAACGUAUUGAUACGUAACAAACAUACUUCUUGCUCUUUAUUUAUUUUUUAUACUCGUUUCUUUCUCUUUCCACAGAAUGAGUUAUACUGAUUGGAGUAAGUUACCAAAAGAAUUAAUAGAGCUAAUUUUCGAUGAGCUACAACAUGCGGGAGACAUAAUUCGGUUUGGAACUGUAUGUAGGUUUUGGGGUUUGGUUGCUUUGGAGGCAAGGCAACAAGUCUUCAAGCCUUUGAGACCUUUGAGUCCGAUGUUGUUACUGCCUCCUAAUAAGGAUGAUGAAGCCCACAAGCUCUAUGAUUUCUUUAAGAAGAAGGCUUAUAAAAUUCAAAUUCCAGCUAUGCGCGAUAAAUGGUGUUGCAACUCAUGGAAUGGGUGGUUAAUCACAAUCAAUCACACUUUCCCUUAUGAAAUAUGUUGUUUAAAUCCGAUUUCAGGUGUGCAAAUCGAUCUACCUCCGGCAAUAACUUUUGAAGAUUCUCCUCCUGACCUUGAUGAAACACCAAUUGAAUUUUUCUUGAACAAGGUUGUUCUGUCUUCUACUCCUUCUCCUUCAAAUGCCAAUUGUGUCAUUAUGACUAUUCAUAGUAAUUAUAAGAAGUUGGCAUUUUGCAAACCGGGUGAUAAGCGGUGGAUUACUUUAAAAAGUGAAGAUAUUCAAUAUAAGGACCUCUUAUAUUAUAAGGACAAUUUUUAUGCAAUAGGAAGGUCGAAAGUUGUACAAUGUGAUAUUGGCGAUGAUCCAAGGGUUAUACCAUUCGCACUACUCCCUAAGAUGGGAUACUUUUAGUAUAGAUAUUUAGUAGAGUCAUCCGGCUGCCUUCUAUAUGUGUUGAGAUAUAUGGAUUUGAAGGAUAACGAAGAUCCUUUAAAGUUGCGGUAUGAAACAACAGGUUUUAAGGUAUUUGAUUUGGAUUCGGAUAAAAGGAAGUUCUCAUAUCGGUAUGAAACAACAACAUUUAAGGUGUAUAAUUUUGACUUCGAUCAAAAGAAGUGGAAGCUAGUAAAAAACAUAAAGGAGAAGGCCCUAUUAUUAGGUCAUAACCAAGCUAUUUCGAUAUCUACUAAAAAAUUUGAUGGAUUUAAAAGCAAUCAUAUCUACUUUUUGGAUGACUAUAAGGAAGGUUACUUUGAAAAUACAUAUGUUUGCCAUGAUAUGGGAGUUUUUAACAUAAAAACUCAUCUCUUUAAGCCCAUUUUUCGUUGUACUCAAUUGUGGGCAUCUCCACUAUUUUGGAUGAGACCUGAACUUUCUUUACAUUGAAAUAUUGUACUACCGUUGUUAUAUCUUAUAAUAAUUCUUUUUUAACCUUUUAUAUUUCUUGUAAUAAUUUUUGUCUUUUUAUUUUAAGUAUCUAAUCUUGUUUUUUUAGUGGGGAUUACCCUCUUAUUAUGUGCAUAAGGUUUUUGGAACUCAAAAACCCAAUUAUGUCAUAGACUUCAAUGUUUGAAGGUUGAGAAAAUUUUUGGUGUAUUUUAGAAUUUGUAUGACUCUAUGAUAAAUGAUUUAUUAUGUAUUCAACUAAUUUAUAAUCAUAAAUUAAAUUUAUAUGAUAGCUAAUAAAAUUAAGAAUGUGAAAUCCAAUGCUUGUGUCAAAUAUUUAGCAAUACAUAUUAUGCAAUUUUUAUUAUGCAUAUAAGAUUUUAUCAAUUCUUAAUAUAAAAAAUAUAUAUGUAAUAUAAGAUUUUUGUGAUGCCAUUUUUAUUUUUUUUUUAAGUUGAAAACUAUGGGUGCAAAUUGGGUGAAUUGGUCUAAUAAAACCUGAAUUAGCCUAACAAAUUAAUGAUAUUUUACAUUAUAUUUUUUAACAUAAUUAGAAGAUGCAUGCUAAAAAUAUUAUCAUGGUUAAAAAUAAUAUUGUCUUUUACAAACAAUUUAUCUUAUACACUUGCAUUAUACAAUAAAAAUUAUAAUGCUAGUGAAAUUGCCCAAAUUGAACAUUUCCUUUAUUUCAUUUCAUCAUUAAACUUUUAUCCAAAUUUAUACAAUACGAAUACAAUUAUACAAGGAAUCAAUUAGUCAAAUAAAUUUGCAUUUCUUACCCCUAAACUUUACCAUUUCUUAACUAAUCAUCUUCCAGACUCUACGGUACGCUUGUUAUGGUAAUAAUGAGGAACAAGAGAUCCCAAGCCAACCGCACCACAUCUUUCUCUUCACCUUCAUUCCUCACCAAGCUGCUUAGCUAACAGAUCAACAGGUAAGGAACCCAGUGGAACUGGUGAUUCCAUCUCUUCCAAUGACUCAUUCACCAAGUAUUCAUCAUCAUCAUCAUCAUUGUACAUCUCAUCUUCACUAUAAUCCUCACUAUUACAACCUUCAUACUCUGCCUUUGUACCACCAGUUCCAUCUUCACUUGACAUCACUAAAGCUGGAUAGGAGUGCUCGGUGGCCUGUGAAAUGCCUUCGAAUUCCUCUACUAUCUUCAAGCUGUGUCUUCCCCUAUUCUCCACAUUUGUUCCCUCAAAUUAAUUGAUUAGGCCUGAUCACCUGGAUAAUCCCAGAAAAAAUAUUGUCCACUUCCUUUAUUUUGGGAAAAAGUGUGGUUUGUCCCACUGUUGCUUCCAAUAUCUCCUCUCUAGCCUUGUGUCUUAAUGGAGAACAAUCCUUCCAAAAUGGCCUUUGAAACAGGAUAAACUCUUGGGCUUUCUGUUUGGAACUUUGAAAGAACAAUCAAUAGGGAAGAUUCUUUGUUCAUCUUGUGACAAUCAACAGGGAAGAUUUUUUGUUCAUCUUGUCCUUCCUGCUAUCCAAAUGGAGCCUUUAAGUUGUGGAUGUCCAUCUUUUUUACUACCUUGUUGAUUUUGGCUGUAUCCACUAUGGAUGUAGGAAUUAUAGACUUGGAUCCCACAAUGGUCCCCUACUCCAUUAUCUUCUUGUAAAGGUAGCUUUCCUGCUAAGGAGCUCUUCUUCUGUUUAAAGAGUUUCUUCUCUUGUUACCC